This 468-nucleotide ribosomal RNA is filed under the name uncultured bacterium. Its description in RNAcentral is "partial 16S ribosomal RNA". It matches the Rfam family "Bacterial small subunit ribosomal RNA", at positions 28 to 507 of the family's 1533-position model. The record is from RNAcentral.
GACGAACGCUGGCGGCGUGCUUAACACAUGCAAGUCGAACGGAAAGGCCCUGCUUUUGUGGGGUGCUCGAGUGGCGAACGGGUGAGUAACACGUGAGUAACCUGCCCUUGACUGUGGGAUAACUUCAGGAAACUGGGGCUAAUACCGGAUAGGAGCUCCUGCUGCAUGGGGGGGGUUGGAAAGUUUCGGCGGUGGGGGAUGGACUCGCGGCUUAUCAGCUGGUUGGUGGGGUAGUGGCUUACCAAGGCUUUGACGGGUAGCCGGCCUGAGAGGGUGACCGGCCACCAUGGGCCUGAGGUACGGCCCAGUCUCCUACGGGCGGCAGCAGUGGGGAAUAUUGCACAGUGGGCGGAAGCCUGAUGCGGCGGCGCCGCGUGCGGGAUGACGGCCUUCGGGUUGUAAACCGCUUUCGCCUGUGGCGAAGCGUGAGUGACGGUAAUGGGUAAAGAAGCACCGGCUAACUACGUG